UCCGGCUCUUACCGGCAGUCCCACUAAAGUGCCAAACUUAAUUAGGGCAACUAGUGGUAAGGGUUGCGCUCGUUGCGUCACUUAAGACAACAUCUCACGACACGAGCUGACGACAGCCAUGCAGCACCUGUGUCUAGGUUCUCCGAAGAGCACAGCCUAAUCUCUUAGGCCUUCCUAGCAUGUCAAGAGCAGGUAAGGUUUUUCGCGUUGCAUCGAAUUAAUCCACAUCAUCCACCGCUUGUGCGGGUCCCCGUCAAUUCCUUUGAGUUUUAAUCUUGCGACCGUACUCCCCAGGCGGUCUACUUCUCACGUUAGCUCCGCUACUAAGGCUUUCAAUCCCCAACAGCUAGUAGACAUCGUUUAGGGCGUGGACUAC
RNAcentral lists this unclassified non-coding RNA (376 nucleotides) under uncultured Gammaproteobacteria bacterium. RNAcentral's name for it is "contains 16S-23S intergenic spacer region". Lineage: Bacteria; Pseudomonadati; Pseudomonadota; Gammaproteobacteria. The record is from RNAcentral.